GGCCAUGCCUAGUACGGCGAGUGAGCGGCACAGCUCAAUUUGAAAUCUGGCUCUUUUAGAGUCCGAGUUGUAAUUUGCAGAGGGCGCUUUGGCUUUGGCAGCGGUCCAAGUUCCUUGGAACAGGACGUCACAGAGGGUGAGAAUCCCGUACGUGGUCGCUGGCUAUUGCCGUGUAAAGCCCCUUCGACGAGUCGAGUUGUUUGGGAAUGCAGCUCUAAAUGGGAGGUACAUUUCCUUCUAAAGCUAAAUAUUGGCCAGAGACCGAUAGCGCACAAGUAGAGUGAUCGAAAGAUGAAAAGCACUUUGGAAAGAGAGUCAAACAGCACGUGAAAUUGUUGAAAGGGAAGCGCUUGCAGCAGACUUGCUUACAGUUGCUCAUCCGGGUUUCUACCCGGUGCACUUCUUCUGUAGCCAGGCCGCAUCAUUUUGGGCGGUAGAUAAAGUCUCUGUCACGAUACUCCUUUCCGGGGAGGCCUUAUGGGGAAAGAACUUGUUCCAGCCGGACUGAGUCGCGCAUCUGCUAGGAUGCUGGGUAAUGCCGUAGCGCCCUUCUGAAACGGACCAAA
Molecule: ribosomal RNA, 566 nt
Filed under: Alternaria alternata
Lineage: Eukaryota; Fungi; Ascomycota; Dothideomycetes; Pleosporales; Pleosporaceae
Description: partial large subunit ribosomal RNA
Rfam family: Eukaryotic large subunit ribosomal RNA
Source: RNAcentral